This 23334-nucleotide long non-coding RNA is filed under the name Zostera marina. RNAcentral describes it as "long non-coding RNA (ZMAR_LNC001469)". Lineage: Eukaryota; Viridiplantae; Streptophyta; Magnoliopsida; Alismatales; Zosteraceae. The record is from RNAcentral.
CUAUGGAUUAAAUAAAAUAAAAUUUGAUUGAGAGUUAAAAGGAUUCAAUUUGUAUUCUAACAAAUUAAGAAUAAAAAAUUUAUUAGAUCAUAAAUAUCACAUGUAAGUAAGGUGUCAAACGAGCCGAACUUUUGCUUAUAGAGUCGGGCUCGGGCUCGUUAAGAAAUUAUCUAGGCUCGAGCUCGCUGAGUCUGGACUCGAAUUAAAAGAAAUAAUUAUUUGGAAACAUGUGGGAUUGAACCCAUAACAUCUCAAAUACUAAACAAAUUUUUUACCAACUAUGCCACACCUCUAUUCCCUUUAAAUAUAAUAUUUUUUUAAUUUUUUAUACUCCUUACCGAGCCCAUCGAGUUUAACGAACCGAGCCGAGCUUGGCAUGUCCAAGCUCGAGCUCGGCUCGUUAAGCUAAACGAGCUUGAGGAUUGGGCUCGGGCUCGGCUCGUUGGGCUCGCGAGCCCGAGCCGGGCUUUAUUUGACACCCUACAUGUAAGUUACCUUUUAUUAAAUAAAAAUUAAUAAUACAUGCAAUGGAGUAAAAAAAUAUAUAUUCACCUUGGAUAGUGGGGGCAUUUGCAAUAACAUGAGGAAGGUCAAAGUUGAUUCCAUUGAUGUUGGGAUACUUUGAUAUAAUGGUUUUUAAGGUGACGCCGACACCGCCUCCAACAUCAACUAGAGUUUUCAGAUCAUUAAAUCCAGUGUAGGAAUUAAGUAUCUUUUUCAUAGUUAUCAUGGAGUGGCUGUACAUGCAAAUAUUGAAAGUUUUGUUGAACACCAAAUCCUUGCUAGCAUAUUCAAAUAUUGACAUCCCAUGUGCCUUGUUGAAUGGUGUACCUCCAUUCUUCACUGUGUCCUUCAAGUAGUUCCUAUAAGGAUAUACCACAUAUUAGGCAGCUAGUGAGAUAAAAUUAUAUUUAUUCAUAAACAUUGAGAACAUAUUUUGGUUGUAUAUAUAACUUACCAGCAUUCCAUCAUAACUUUCUCUUGAUUUAAUAAGAAAAGGGGAGCUAAACAAACACCAUGCUCGUCUUUCACAAAGUUGAAACACAUAGGAGAAGCACCAUAUAAUCUACUAAUAGUGCUUCCAUCAUCACUCUUUUGCAACUUGUAUUUGAAGAUUCCAUGGCUAGAAAGGCAUCGAAGAACACGAUCGAACAAUACGGGAGCAUCAGGGUUGCCAAUUAUCAGUUUAUCUGCAAUCUCUUUUGUUGAUAGGAAUUUUCCAGAACCAGCAUUGACGAGAACAUCAACUAUACCUAGUUCAAUGGAGAACUUCAUCAUAUUAGGAAGAACUGAACAAUGUACCAAUUUCAAUGCGUUAACAUAUGACUCAUUUUCUUCCAUCUUCACUAUGUUAUCUACAUCGGUUAUGAUUAUUCCCUUGAUUAAAUCUUGUGCACGGAAGUGUUCGGCCCAUUUGAACAAAAGUGGUGUUUUCUUGACAUCCAAUAACUUUAUGUCUGUUAAUUUAUUCUCAGCUGACAAUAUGAAACCCAACAUUGAGCCGAAACAGAUGUCAAUGUAAUUCAUAUUUUGUCCACCAAAAAAGUUCUUCCCCUGACUGCAUCUUUGAAACGCACAUUCAAGGAUUUCCAUUAUCUUGUCAAACUCUUGAACAUCCAUCGAUUUAGUUAAGAUCUCUUUCAUGGCUAAUUCAAUCUACAAAGUACAUGUAAAAUUAUAUUUAAUGAAUGUAAAAAGUUAAUUUAAUUGAUCAACGAGAAAAAAUAUAUUUAUGAUAUUGAUACAUGGUAUUCUAUAAUGGACCAUGUCCUCAAAGUAACAAACAAGUUAGGUUUCACAAUCUGAAAGUAGGUUAUUUGAAAUUAAAAUAUUUAUUUGAGAAAGAUUGGAAUUAUAUUGUAAGUUCGGUUUCAAACUUACUUAACUUCAUCCAAUAAGAAGAGUAGUAAAAAGCGAAACAAUAUAUUUGCAUGACAUACCUUAUUGUCGAUAAAUUUAACCCAGAAUGUUUGAACAAUAGAAUCGUACAUGUCCGUGGGCAAGAUGGAUGGUGUAUCUACAGUCUUCCAUGUUUCAUCGAUAUACUGGACUAUCUCGUAAGGCUCAGUUAUUUCGUUACCAGCGUGGAUAAAGACAACGUCAGAUAAAAUCCCUCCCUGAUUUCCAAUGAUGUCCUCAUCCACAAACUCAUAAAGAAUACCUUUUAUAUUCAGGGCUAUUUUGAUCCGUAUGACAAAUGGACUCGAUUGUCUCCCAAUGACCUUCACACCUAAUUCUGUGACCUUCAUCAUCGUUGAGAUUUUCGAUCAAGUAUACGUACCCUGUGAAAACAAUAGAUCUUAAGUUUAUAACAAUCAGAACUAACUUUAUGAAAUCGAAAAGAAGUCAAUGACAGAUCUUGAUUAGAAUUUAGUUAUUUUUCAUGAUUGGAUUUUGAUAGGGGUGAAACCCGACCAGUACUCCAAGACGCGCAAGCAAGCGCCAAGCGGGGAAUUCCGCGGGAAAUCGGACCAGAACUCAACUGCGCAGAGCUUUGCUUCGCUGGGACUUCUUCCACUCCAAAUGACCUGCCUUUAAUGAGUGGGGGAUGCCUCCUAUUUAUAGGGAUUCUUAUGGGGCUAAUCUGGUCAUUUUGGCCGUAACCGCCUAACUGCCUAACUGAUCAGAUCGAGGCCCUAGGUCGUCUUUCCAGAGAUCGACUUUCUGGGGAUCCGACUUUCCUAGUGAUCGACUUUAUUCAGAAGUCGAUCCCAGGGAAGUCGAUCCUCAGGAAAGUCGAUCUUCCUAAGAUUCGACUUAGGACCUCCCCAAUCCUAGAAUAGGUAGCUCAACUCAUCUUAGGCUAUUCGGACUUCUAGUUGCUGGUAAGCUGUGACCGGGUUGGGAAUACUGUAUCACCAGUACUCUCCCUUUUCUGCGUAUUAGAUACCUUGGGAUACGUCUUUUAGUACUAUGGUCUGUGUGUUGGACCUUGUACUAUCAGAUUUAGAAACAAUUUCUUAUGAAACCCAAACGAAGUUAUUGACAGAUCUUGAUUUGAUUUUUUUGGAGAAAUAUAUACAAUAACUAAAUCUAUAAAAUGCCUUGAAGACUGGAAAUGAAGAAAAGAAACAAUUUUCAAUGACGAAGAUAAUAAAAUACCUCAGUCAGUACUGAUAAAUGCAGAAGCGAGCAGAAAAGGAAACGAUUAAUAAUGUAAGAGGAAAUCUUAUACGGUACUUAUAGAUGUUGAACGGUACUAAAUUAACCUUGCUUAAGGUCGAAAAAAAUCCUUAAUUUCCAACUACCUCAAAUGAGUUGUUUCUCUACAAUUAAUUUCUUUGCGAAAGAAAUUUUUAGAUAAGGAAGAAUAUAAAUGGAAGGUGUGUAUUAUGUCAAAAGAUAAGAUAAGAUAUUGUUGAAAAAAUGAAUGAUCAAUAAGAAAUUACCAGAUAAGUUAAAUUAGCAUGACUUUUUUAGUUUUUCAAAUCAAGCACGUUACAUUAUGGCGUGUGGACCGUGUGGUUGAAACUUGAUAUAUAGCAAUGUUCAAUAGUCAAUGUUCAAUAGUCAAUGGGAUUUUUUUGAUGAAUCUCAUUUCUAGCCACCAACUUUGAUGAGGUAAAUUUCCAUGAAUUAUUAAAAUAUAAGAUAAGAUAACCUUGAAAAAAUGUAUGAUCGAUAACAAAUAUUGUGAUUACAAUGAUGAUUACUAACAUAUAAGUUAAAUUAGCAUGAAUAUUUUAGUCUUUCAAAUCAAGCAUGUUACUUUAAAUUUUUAAGUCUAUAACCACAAAUGUCAAAUCCCAAAAUCUAUAUCUCUUCCAAAUCCCUAAACCCUAAAUUAUUAUUCCCUCACUAAAUCCGAUUCUCCCUCUAUUUCUAUUUCUUCCAUCGGUUGACUAUUUACAUUUAUAUUAUAAUGUUAGACUUUUGAUUUUUUUAAUUCAGUAUUUUAAUUAUAUUAUUGUUUAAAAUAAAUAAUAAAUAAAUCAAUAAAAAAUAAAUAAAUAAAUCAAUAAUUUGGUCAGGUGUUCCGUCCCCGUAUUCGGUCAUUGGCCGGGUACAUGGAAGAUUUUUGGGUCUGGGUAUUUUCCCGUGACCAGGAACGGGAAACAAAUCCGCUCACCCGUACUUUGCUUCUGCUUAAAAUACCACCUACUAUUUUUGUUUAUUUUUUGACCUCUUAAUUAAUUGAAAAUCCGAUCAAGGUUCUUUUUCUGCUUCUUAAUAACAUUAUGCAAGUAACCACAGUACGGAUAAGAUACAUUACAAAAAAAAGUAGGCAGUUCGGACGAAGCAAAGUUAAUGAAAUUUUCGUUACAAAUACUAAUAAGCAAAGUUAACGGAAUUUGUAACGGAAUUUCCGUUAACUUUGUUGUUUCCGUUACAAAUACUAGAUAUCAAGAUGGACUUAUAUAUGGUAACGGAUUUUUAGAGUAUUUGUAACGGAUAUUCCGUUAAAAAUAACAAUUAUUUAAAAUUUUUUAUUUCCCCCCUUUAACAUUUCGUUUUCCCCAAUAUUAUUUCCCUCAUUUAUUUUGUUCACUCCAAUAUUAUUCUCCAAUAUUUUUUCCCCAAUAUUCUUUCCCCAAUCUCAUUUUCCCUCCAUCCUCCAAUCUCGUUUCCCCUCUCAUUUCCUUCAAUCUUGUUUCCCCCAAUCUCCCUUCUCAACAACCAACGGCGAUUCCAGUGUCACUUGGAUUAGAAAUUUGGUAACACUUCCUUCCAGAGGCGAUUCCAGUGUCACUCGGCCAAUGUCAACUUGCCGCAACAGUUGACGGAGGUUCUACCCUCUCGCUGUUCAUUUCACACAGCUACGUAGGUAUGUCUAUUCUUCAUGUCUCCAAAUCUACUUUCUAUUCCAAGUACGUUAUUGGAUUUAGGUUGUUUUCAUAUGCUGAUCGAUCGUAUAGUAGAUGGUAUUUAAAAUCCAAUGUGGUCGGGGAGCCGAUUCCUCCGGUCCCAACGCUGGUCUGUCAUCUCUCUUCCGCAAUUCUUUUCUUCAUCCCUAUCAUCUUCGAUGCCGUAUUCCUCCGCGGUUCUUCUCAAUUCCAGUACCACCGAUUUUGUUUGUUCUCGUUCUGUUUUUACUCCGUGUUAAUCAAGAUUAUCAACAGGUGAGUAAGGAUUGCAAUGCCUUCUUACCAUGGCUGGAAUAAAAGGCCGGGACAGAAAUAUCCUCGAAACUUUCAAUUGGACACUCCACAUGUGGCAGGUUUGUUCUUCUCUUUGAUGUGAUCAAUCUAUCUUAGAUCGAGUUAUUUGUUAUACCUUUUUUAGUACAAGGCGUGUUUGUUAUAUCUUUUUUUCAUCUUCCUUCGAGCUUGAUUAAUUGAAUAUUUGUUGAAAGUAUAUAACAAAUAUACAGGUCAUUAUUUGCAUCAGACUUCAUUUGAGAGGGAGAAUGUUUAUUGAAAGUUCCUUACAGUGUUGUAAGGUUUCCUCAUUGUCUUUUCUUAAUCAAAUGCUUUAUCUUGUUGUUUUUGGUUGUCUAUUUGUUAGUUUUUAUCAUGGAUUCUUAGAUCAACCUUAUUUUCAUAGAAUUCGGCCAAUCUAUUUUUGUUGUGUUUCCCCCAAUAUCUAUUUCCUCCAUACUCGUUUCUAUUUUUUAGAAUUCAGAAAGUGAUAUUUCGCUUUGCUAGUUAAUAUUGUUUUGUCUAUUUACUAACUCUUUUCUUUCUUCAAUCAGUCUUUAUCUCAAUCUCAGAAGUGCCGUCCGGCGCACCAAAUUUUCAGAAGAAAUCAUUUUCUUAGAAAGGGUAAAUUUUUCCAGCAAGAAUAUUCAUUUUCAUUUGGAGCUCAUAUAGUUGAUUGUUUUAUGAGUUCCUUUUAUAAUGCUUCGAUGUUCCUUUUAUUAAUAAAUUUAUUUCAAUGUUUCAAAUAACUAUUUAGCAGUGAAAUAUAUUUUUCUUAUAUAUUCUUUGUGAGUAAUUUUUUUUAUUUUUCUGUUUUUAUUAAUUUUAAGUGCUGAAUAUUUUGUUGUAUUCACAUAUUAUAAAUGACACCCAAAAAAACAUUGGUUAGUAAGAAACGACGAUUUACACGAAGUUCUGUCGACCAUGAACAACCUACUUCAAGUACUCAUGUUCCGACUGCUGAACCCGAAGUUUUGUCGACACGAAGUUCCAUUCAAAUAGUUCUUCCAUGUUAGUUUUGUUGAAUGUUGUUUUGUUGAAUGUUAGUUUUGUCGAAUGUUAGUUUUCUUGAAUGUCAAAUUUGUUGAAUGUUUUUAAUUGUAUUGAAUAUUUGUUGAAUAUUGAAUGAAUUUACAGGAAUGGAAUCAAUAUUAUUGAAUGAAUUUACAGGAUUUUGAAUUGAAUUUACAGGGAUAAUGAAUUUAUACUGCAAUUGUAAAUGAAUUUACAAGGAUUCUGGAAUUUUUUUUUACUAAAAAAAAUUUGUAACGGAUUUUUCGUUCCGUUAACUUUAGGUUGAAAGUAUUUGUAACGGAUUUAAGUAUUUGUAACGAAAAUUUUGUAACGGACCAAAGUUAACGAAAUUUCAGUUAAAAAUAGUAUUUGUAACGGAAAUUCCGUUAACUUUGCUCGUCCUAAUUGCCUACUUUUUUUUGGAGUGAUAACAUACUGAAUAUUGUAUAUUAAGAGUAUUAUAUCAAAUUAAAACACCAACUAAUUAAUCCUAUUUUACGGUAUACCAUAAGACCCUUGACCCCUCAACUUCCCAAUUAAUACAAAUAUAGCCGUUACUAAUUAAUGCCUAAACCUACCUAUAAAUUAAGAUUAAGACCACUCACCAAUUUACUCUCUUCGAUUCAAACAUUCAUCAAUUAAGAUUAAGACCACUUUAUUUAGUUCAUCACUGCAGGUUCAAAUAUCAGUUCAAAGGUAUUUCAGUUCCUAUCUCAAGUUACUCACAUCAGAACCAUCCAGCUCUUCAUUCUACUGCAACAGUCUUCGCUCUCUCGUUGUUAUUCAGUCAUCUCUCAAUCGCCACCGAAUCUGUACUGUUAUUUAUUUACAUAUAAUAUUCGUAUUUAAUGUUACAUUCAUAAACAUCAACAGUUUUACAUAUACUACAUAACACUGUAUUCAUUCAAAUUCAAAUUCAAAUAUCGAAUACCAUAUAUACCAAUUAAAUCUUGAAGACUAAUCCAAUACAAUCAUCAUCAUACAUAAAAUUUAGCAUAGUAUCAGAGCAUUAGAUAUGAUAUAUAUAUAUUUCUUAAAAAUAAAAACAUCAUCCAAACAUUAUUUACUUCACAUUCCUUUUCCUUUAGAUCAUAUAUUCAAACAUCAUUCUUCUUUAAAACAAAACAUUAUUUACUAGAUUUUUUUUUCUCAGUUUAUAUAUUAAAAUACUAUUUUUCAUUAAAACAAAACAUCAUUGAUCAUUCACUUCAUAUUUUUUCGUCUAAAAUAUCAGAUAUCAUAUAUAUAUUUUUUCAAAAUAUCAUUGUUUUUUUCUUUCUUCUUUCCCAUUUUCCAACUUGUUUUGCUUUUCAAAAUAUCAAAACUUAGCUUCUAUAUAUUUUGUUCUCUUUGUUGAGCUUUCCUACUGUCAUAUAUACAUAAACAAAAAAAGAAAAAGAAAACACAUACACUUCAUUUUUUCAUCCAACAGAAAAGGAAAAUACAAGGGAAAUACAUUUAUCCUUGUAGGUAGCCCUAUGAUCAGCCCUUGCUCUCCUUCUCAGCAACUCCCUGACUGUUUCAUUCCCCUUGCAUUCAAGAAUACAAAAGGAAUCAUUCCUAGGAUACUCCUCAUCAUCACUGUAGUUUAUCAAACCUCCCAUCCCACUCAUCAUCAUCAAAAGGGUCCUAGAUAUUGAUAGGCUGAGGCCCCUUAUCAGGAUCAUCAAGUCCCCCGAUUCUGUUGAGGAGCAGCAAGAACAGCUCAUCUUGAGCGCGAUCUUCACGUAGUAUCACCAUCGAUAUUGUCACAAGUUACUUCUCUCAACAUCUCCACGUCGGUCUGGGAUUCUCUUCUUCAGCUGUAAGCAUCGUCAUCAGGGACACGUCAACUUCAUCUAAGGUUCCAACUGCAAUCAAUUCGCAAGGGUUCUUUGAAGAUUUGCGACUACCUCAAGAAAAUCAGUAUCUUGAAAGAUACUAUCGCCGCUGCAGGGGAAAAGAUGAAGGAUUAUCAGAUUAUUUGAAUCAUACUUGGAGACCUUGGCAAUGGAUAUGAGGCAUUUGUUACCUCAAUAACAACACGCUUCGAUCACACCAUGACUUUCACAACAUUGCAACACUUUCUCAUGGAUCACGACAUGACUAUGAAUGUCCAUAUUAACGAAGAUCUAACAGAGGUAAAUUUGUUAACUAAAUCCAUAUUUGAUGAUCGCAAAUGUGGGGGAGGCAAGCUGAUAUGCCAAAUUUAUUCAAGAAAAGGAGGGCACAACAUAAUUAAUUGCCACAACCGAAUAAAUUUACGAAAUAUCCCGCCACUCAUGGCCGAGAAUUGUCACCUGCUAGACCGGCAGGAAUGAAGCAACCAACUUCAACAAAUUUGGUAACAUCUAGAAACACUAUGACUAUGUGUUACCCGGAUUCAGGCGCCACCUCUCAUGUUACACAUUCAGGUAUGAAUUUAAGUUCACAUUCUGAUUUUAGCCAACCAUCAUCAGUUUUGGCUGCCAAUGAUAAUUCUAUAAGGGUUACACAAUCGGAUAACUCUAUUGGGGCAGUUAAUGGGGCUGAUUGUCACUUAAAUGAUUUGCUCGUAGUUUUAGGUAUAUCUAGAAAUCUACUAUCAAUUAACAGAUUCUGUGUAGACAAUCAAGUAAAAGUUGAAUUUGAUGAUAUGAAGGUUAGAGUAUGGGAUCGAGAAACUGAGAAAGUGCUGGCUGAGGGGAGCCAGAGGCAUGCACUCUACCAAAUGCCAUUGAACAUGAUGAAGUCUUCAGAGGUGCUAUCGUUGGAGGGAGAAUCACAAUAAUUAUGGCAUCGUCGUCUCGGUCAUCUUCAUGAUUAAACAAUUAAUACUCUUUUUAAGAAUAAACAUAUUAAAUACGUUUGUAAAAAUGACUUUAUUUAUGAUACAUGUGUGAUUGGCAAGUCUGAUAAUCUACAUCACAAACAAAGCAACUCGUUUUAUUCUUCACCUCUAGAAUUGAUAAUUGCAGACAUUUGAGGUCCAGCAACCAUUAAUUCUUGAUGAAGCACGUAAUCUGCUACCAGGGGGCUCGCGGGGUUGCGAGGAGGGCCGGAGGCUUCGGAGUCUACGACGCGCGCUCUACGUCAAAUACCUGCAGAUGAGAGGAAUCGACGACUCAACGUGGGAGUGGGCGAUUCGGGCUCCUUAGUGUGCUCUGGUUGAGUGGGAGAUCAAGUAUGUUGGAGAUGGAUUGGGAGAACCCCCAAGGACCCCUUUUAUAAGGUCUUUGGGACGUUUCCCAAUCAAUGAGCCGGGCCCACACCAUUAUGGCGCCCGGUUAAAGGUGCCAUAAUGUGUGGGUCAGCCACAAGUAACAUCUGGGAAUCGACGACUUAGGUAUGGGAGUCGUCGAUCCAGGGGUGGAGUCGGUGAGUCCUAGGAGCCAGGUCGUCAGUCUACCAGAACUGACUAACUUGGUUUCGACUCGUCGACUCACCUCCGGAAUCGGCGACUUGAUAGUCCCAAUCGGCGAUUCCCAUGUGUUGACUUGAGGACUUGACGUAGACACUUGUUCCGCAACCGUGGAGCUCUCCGGGGGUCCGGCAUAAAGCGACGGAACCCUAGUCCUUGUUGAAGAGCGUUGCUGGAAGUGACUGACGUAAUCAUGCAUGUCUCACCAGUACUCCCCCCUGAAGAGAGCACAAGAAACAUGCGUGUGUCACCAGUAUCCCCCAAGCAAGGUUGUGUGUGUGAUCCGCAUCAAUGUCAAAGCGACAAGAUAGGAUCGAAUCAUUGCGGCCAUAGCGACACAAUGAUUCUGUAUCCAUUAAGGCCAAAGCGACAAAAUGGAUUGAUUCUGGGCGAAGUGACAUAAUCUAGUUCCAGGCCAACGGAACUACUUGUUUAUAGUCCAACUCUGAUCAAGAGCGACUUUUGCUAUGUUAUCAAGGCCAAAGCGACAAGAUGAGAGAAUUAUUAAGGCUAAAGCGACAAAAUAAUUCUUGGUCCAUUAAGGCCAAAGCGACAAAAUGGACUUGGAUCUAUUAAGGCCAAAGCGACAAAAUAGAUCCGAUUCUAGCCGAAGCGACAUAAUCUAGUUUUAGCCGAAGCGAUAGAACUAAUGUUUAUAGUCAACUCUGAUCAAAAGCGACUUUAUGUCCGCAACGACGGUUAACCCAUCAAUGCAAAUAAGCUGAAUGAUGGCUUGAGAUCAUUAAGGCCAAAGCAAUAAAAUGAUCUUUGGUCUAUUAAGGCCAAAGAGACAAGAUAGAUCGGAUUCUGGCCAAAGCGACAGAAUCAUACCUGCAAAAAAGAAAACAUCCUGCAAAACAACUAAAUCAGUCUAAAACGUAUAUUUUUAUUGACCAAUUGAACUUACCGUGCGAUUUUACCUUUCGCGAUGUCCUUCCUUUGCUCGAAUGAAUCCUUGGUAAAUCUAGCUGAAGCGACAAAUUUACCAUGCUUAUGUUCGACAACUUUCGGUCGGAGCAACAGAAGUGUCGAGAGAGUUUGUGAUACUCCCCCCGAAACGUGACAACUUCUGGCCGAAGCGACAGAAGUGUCGGGAGAGUUUGUGAUACUCUCCCCCGAAAUGUGACAACUUCUGACCGAAGCGACAGAAGUGCCGGGAGAAUUUGUGAUACUCCCCCUGAAAUGUGACGAUUUCUGGCCGAAGCGACAGAAGUGUCGGAGAGAGUUUGUGAUACUCCCCCCCGAGAAUCAUGUCAGUGUGACAUAUAUAUUUUUUGGAAUGAUUAAUUUUCAAAAUAUUUUGUAAUCUUUUUAUUUUGACUGUCAAUGAACUAUCUGUUGUUUUUUCUUUGUUAAUUUUUCAUAUAAAUCAUCUUUAAAUUGUAACCUAAGCUCGAAACUAGAUUCACAAGUCGUAACUUAGCCUCUCUGGACGUAAGUUAGACUCUGCUAAACCUCGCUUAGCCACUCUGGACGUAAGCUUGGUCGUACGAAACGUAGUUCAGUCGUCAGUUAAAUUUGCGGAUAAUUUAUAUCUCCAAUUUAACACAGAGUUGUAAAAAAUAGUACAAAUAACAAAUCAAAAAAUAAGAUGUAAAUAUUUGGAAUUCGAGGGUUAGACUCGUAAUUUUUUAUUAUAAUCCUAGAUUUGAACCCUGAUGCCGGAGAGAGUUUCUGAUACUCCCCUCCGAAGUGUAAUGACUUCUGGCCGAAGCGAAAGAAGUGUCGAAGAGAGUUUGUGAUACUCCCCCUAAAAACAUGCCCGUGAGGCAGUUUUGCUGAUAUUUACCCUAAGUCGGCGAUUGGGUGCCCCAAUCAGCCACUCCUGAGUUUUGGGUAACUAUGAGGGGAUGAAUUUUGAAAUUUCACCCUCUUGAGUCGGCGACUCCUUCUGGGAAUCGACGACUUCUGUUGUGAACUGUCGGAUCUCUUAGAAGAUCCUCGAGAUAUUUGAAGAAUAUUUGCAAAUUUCCCAAAUAAGGAAAUUUAUCUACCAAAUUUUGCAAAUGACUGUCCGGAAUCGGUGACUCCUCUACGGAGUCGUCGACUCUGGCGUGAUUUCAGGGAUUUGGAGAUCAACUUUCGAUCUCCUCCCUUGCAAUUUUUGGAUUUUCUGGGGGGGGGGGUUUGCAAUUUUCCCAGGGGCUAUAAAUAGUGGUGAAAUCUUCUCACUUCUCACUCCAAUUCCCCCAAUUCACGAAUCGCCUAAAACCCUAGAUUUUUCAAUCGCCGAUUCCCCAGAUUUUCUCCAUGCGAAUCGACGAUUCCCUGUAAUGGCCAGAACAAGUCCUACCAUUCAUUGCCUCUCAGAUGCCGAGACAGACGCAAUGAUAUACGAGUUGGCCGCGGAGAACAUCGUCGGGGUGCUGAACACCGUCGAGUCGCUGCUUUCGACUCCUCCUAGGGAGUUGGGAUCGGCGACUUCGAUUGUUCUAUCCGCGGACGCAAAUAUGCAUGAGUGCCUCGGUGCACGAAUUGCUCGGGCCUUUGCCUGAGUCGUCGAUUCCUUCUACGAAAUCGACGAUUCCAGACAAGGUUCCUGAGACUCUGAUCGGAGCUAACCUUGAGCAUGGCGAGAUUCCUGGGCCCACUCAUGAAUCGACGAUUCCCUCUGUGGAGUCGCCAACUCCGAGAAGGCUCAAGAAGAAAGCCGUGUUCAAGAGGAGAAGGGGAAAACUUACUGCCACCCAGAAGCGUCGAGUAUACGCUACGAGUCAUCGACUCAACUGAAAAAAUCGACGAUUCCGGGGGUUGAGUCGGCGACUCCCCUUGAAACAGUAGAUGACUCGAUUCCUAGUAAUGAACCGCAUCCCGACUCACUUGUCGUUAAUGCUGAGGGUGUCAUCAUCUCUGGGAUGAACCCUAACAAGCGACCGUCGGAGGAAGAUGGUUUGAAGAGGAAGAAGAAAAGGAGACGGCCGGGGCCAUGGAAAAGGAAAGGUUCAUGUUCCUGGUGAGAAGGAGGCAGCCCACAACCCUCACAAUUUAAAUUUCGAAGAAGAGCUGGUCGUGGAUCGUGGUGCUUCUAGACCCUCUUCUAAUGUGGGUCGUUGCUCUAUAGAGAGAACUCCUCCACCACCGACUGAAUUAGACAAAAAUCGCGACAAGUAUGCCGAUUUCCCUUCCUAUGUCGGAACAACAAACCCGACCGGGUUUGCACAUUGCAAAACAUUUGUAAAUGGUGCCACUAUCUUGCUCCCCGUUAGCCGCUCAGGCGAGGGUAAAUUCGAGCAAGUAAUGACUAGUGCGACGCUGAAGCACCAUGGAACGACGCACCCUCCUUCUUUUAUCAAUGCGAGUGAAGCUCAAGACCUUUUAAGAGGGAUGCGAAUAUCUGGACAUCUGCGAUUUUGGAUGUCACAAUAUCAGCCUGCGAAUCUCCCACCACCGGGAUUUCAGGCCUUGCCCAAGAUGUAUUUCAAGCACUUCUCUGAACUCCCCAUUCCUGAACUGAUGAGUGAGAUCGUGCUUGCAACUGAAGUCUCGCUGUCGUAACUUCCAACGGGAUUCUUUGUUUGCCUUAGAGGAUUCUCCAACAUCUGUUGGAGUCUUAACAUUACUCCUACUGCACGUUUGUUCUUGUAUUAUUACAAGUUGUGCAAAAAUGGAAAACCUGGAUCGGGUCGGGUUGGAUUGACGCGAAGACAUUUUAAUCGCAACCUUAUUGAUGACUUGCCUUCCCACCAUGAGGUGUGGAAGCAAGAGUUCAUUUUCGUGAUAUCGGAAUUCCUUCCCGGAAGUCGGGAGGAUUGGAUAGACCCGAACCGUGUGCAUCUGAGCGUAUCAUUGGGUAUGAAUGCGGAUGACAUGGUUGCCGCCGAUAAAAUUGUUGAAGCUCUGAAAGACUACAACCUGCCACGUGGGGUUCCCUUCAUCCUCUGCCAGCGUGAAGCCAAAGCUUCAGAGCCUCGGAGGACUUUUGAGAAGGGCUCAAGUUCUCGCUCCGCUCCUGAGAGGCCUGGAUUCGAGCCCUACAAUUGUGGUGUGAAGCUCCCAGACUUUAUGGCCGAUCCUCAAGUUCGAUCGGAUGCAAUUUCGCUACUGAUGGCGAAGUCUGGGAGUUGGGUUCGGACUGAGCUCAUUACAACUUUGAAUGUUGUAACUUUAUUUUCCGAUAGAAUUUUUUACUUAUUCUUUUACUAAUGUUUCUAAUUUUUUGUAGGCUUGCUACAUGGCCCAUGCGUGCUUUGGCAUGGAUACUCUUCACGAUACUAUGAGAGCGCAAAAGAAAUACAACCAACUUGACACCAAGUACAAAGCGAGCGAGAGACAAUUGGUCAAGUUGAGGCAUGUCAAGGCCAAGCUCGAUAACUAUCGAAACAAUGUCGUUCCAAGGAAGGAGAAGACCAUUGAAUCUCAGGAGAAAGAGCUCGAAGAAUAUGUCGGAAAGAUUCUGGGACUUCGGAAGGAACUGAAAGAUAGUUCUGCUGCCUCGACUAAACAGAUUGAAGACUUAAGGAUUCAACUCGAGGCUGAAAUUGGGAGUGUGGUCUCAUCUGAGGCCACUAACAAUGAAUUGUUGAAUAGUCUCUCCCAACUUGAGAAGAAGUGUGCAGAAUUGACUGGCCAACUCUCUCGCUCUGAAGAGGAGUUGGGAAAUAUGAAGAAAGAGAACUCCGCACUUUCGGAGAAGGUCAAGGACUUGGAGUUGGAUAAGAAAGAUCAAUCCGAUCAACUCCAAGAACUUAACUUUUUUGGUUCAUCCAUAUUCCCUGCUCUACCUGAGGACUUUGUUUCCAACAUCAUGACAUGGGUGGAAGAGCAUCCUGAAGAACAAGUGAAGAACACAGAUGCUCUUGACAAGCUGAAGAACGAUGCCGAAGAAGACUAAAUUUAUGUUCUUAUGCUUGUAAUUUUUUGAUGAUAUGUUUUGUAGUUUUUUUUUGAACUUAUUAAUGAAUUAUUUUGCUUACUUUAGUUAAUUGUUUGUGUAAUUUAUUUUUGAAUUGUAAUUUAGACUCGAAACUAGAUUCACAAGUCGUAAUUUAGCCACUCUGGACGUAAAUUUGACUCUGCUAACCCUCGCUUAGCCAUUCUGGACGUAAGUCUGGUCGUACGAAUCGUAGUUCAGUCGUCGGUUAAACUCGCGAAUAAAUUAAACUUCCCAAUUAACCAAAACUCGCAAAGCUAAUUGGCAUAAUAAGUUGGAAUACAAAAGAUAUCGGAACAUUAUUAUAAGUGGUGUAAGUACUUAGAAUCUUUUGGAUUAGGUUCGUAUGUACUCGUCAGCUACCUAUCUUAGAUUAUAACUCUAGAUUCAUACCCUAAUGCGUAGUUCAACUCCGGCCGUAACGACAGAGUAAAUUCUAACCCUCAUCAAGGCCGUAGCUACAAGAUGAGGUUGGAUCGUUAAGGCCAUAGCGACAAAACGAUUCUUAAUCUAUUAGGGCCAUAGCGACAAAAUAGAUUUCUAAAGUAGGGUAUUAGUUAGAGUGGUAAGUAGUGUCAAAUUUAUUGACUUUCUUGAAGGAAUCUUACAAAAUAAAAACUAACUAUUCUAUUUUGUACCCUAUACUAGCAUACAUACUAAAAGGACCUAAGAAAUAGAAAGAUGAAUACUAAGCGUAGUAUUGCUGCAUGUUAUCUGCGUGCCAGGUGUUUGGAACCAUUGUCACAUCUUGUCGCCGUAAGCGAUAAGUUCCUGGCCUUAUCUCCUCUUCGACGAUGUAGGGACCCUCGAAGUUGGAUGACAACUUAUUUUUUGGUCUAUUCCUUUCUGUUAUGCUAGCCUUCCGUGUGACGAGAGUUCCUGACAGAAAUACCUUUUUUGUACUUGGCGAUUGUGGUAUCUCGAUACGCUGGCCUUGUACGAUUCAUUCCGCAGGUCCGCCUCGUCACGGGUUUCAUCCCUUUACUCUAGCUCUGUUGUUAGAUUUUGGUCAUUAGUCUGUUCGUCGUACUUCGAAACUCUGUAUGUUGGUAUACUCAUCUCGAUUGGUACGACGACCUCCACUCCAUAGGUCAUAGCGAAAGGGGUGUUGCCCGUGUGAUUUUUACUAGUUAUGCGAUAUGCCCAUAGGAUUUCGCACAACUUGUCUGCCCAAGCUCCUUUUGCCGAUUCGAUUUUCUUUUUCAAUCCUUGUACGAAGGCCUUAUUGGUUACUUCCACUUGUCCGUUUGCCUGAGGUCGGUAAACGGAAGCAAAGUGGAGUUUUGUGCCCAGGUCCUCGCACAUUCUUAAAAAAUUUCCCCCUGUGAACUACGUGCCAUUGUCCAUGACAAUAUGUUGGGGAACUCCGAAUCGACAGACUAUGGAGUGGUAGAUGAACUUGACUGCCGCGUCUUGAGUGAUCUUCGCUACAGCCUGAGCCUCGACCCACUUUGUAAAGUAAUCUACUACUACAAAGAUAAAUCAAGCCUGAGAUGUCGAGAGUGGGAAUGGUCCUACGAUGUCCAGUACCCACCUUGCGAACGGGAUCGAGCUCAAGAUCAGAGUCAUGUCCGCGGAUGGUUUUUGUUGCAUUGGGCUGUGCAACUAACAUGCUCGACACUUGCGGACGUAAGUGGAGCUUCCAACCUUAGGGUGGGCCAAUAGUACCCCAGCCAUAUGAUUUUGAAGGCUAGUGCUCUUCCUCCCUCGUGGAGUCCGCAUGAGCCUUCGUGUACUUCCUGGAUAACCUUAUUCGUAUCUGGCUUGGCCAAACAGCGCAGCAGCGGGCUGUCGAAUGACUUUUUGUAAAGCACCCCUCCGACGCCGCAAUACUUGGCUGCCUUGUGUUUCAAUUUUUUGGCCUCGCCUUUAUUAUCAGGAAGUGUUCCAUUCUGAAUGAAUGCCAGUAUUAGUUGCCUCCAAUCUUCUUGGGGAUCGGAAAUGACAUUCAAUACAUGGCAUGUGGGCUGGAGUAUUGAGUCCACUAGAAUUUCUUGCUGCCCUCCCUCCCAGGCCGAUGCUAGACGUGCUAGGGCAUCGGCGGGUGUAUUUUAGAUUCGAGGGAUUUGCUCGAUUUUGAACUCAGCGAACUGUUUGGUGAGUGCCACCAUUGCUUCCACAUAUUUGGUGAUUUGUGGUUCCUUGCAAGCGAACACACCAGUGGUUUGCCGAGCUACGAGCUGGGAGUCAGUGCAAAGGGUGAUAUUCUCAGCGCCGAGAGUUCUCAACAGCUUUAGGCCAUGUAUAGCUGCUUCGUAUUCCGCGACAUUGUUAGAUGCCGGGAAGUGAAGCCGUACCGAGUGUUCAUAGUUUUUUCCAUUUGGACUAUGGAUUUUCACUCCGAUAACCGAGUCUGUGCUGCAACUCGAACCGUCUACUUUCACAAUCCAAGGUUGGGUUAGGUUUGAUGGUGUGAGUUCAAUGAUGAAGUCCGCUACAGCUUGCCCUUUGAUGGCAGUGGCUUGUCGGAAAUCCAAAUCGAACUCACUGAGCUCGAUUGCCCAUUUAGUUAACCUUUCCGAGAUAUCUGGUUUGUAAAGUAGACGGCGUAGGGGACACGAUGUCAAUACUAGCUAUAAUUGUGUGCGCUAAGAAGUAAGCUCGAAAGCGACGACAAGCGUGGAUCACAACAUAUACGACUUUCUCAAUCGGAGAGUAUCGUAUUUCUGCGCCUUGUAGUCGCUUCGAGUGGUAGUAGAUAGGGACUUAAUCCUUGUCCCUUUGCGCGAUGAGGACUGCACUUACGACUUCUUCUGAAGCCGCUAUGUAUAAGUACAGGUCUUUCCCAUCCUUAGGUGAUGUCAGCAUUGGAAGUGAGGACAUAUGUGCUUUUAACUUAGUAAAUAUGUCCUCGCAUUCCGAUUUCCAAGUGAUACUACCCUUUGCCGCAGUUUUCAGUAACUGGAAGAACGGUUUACACUUGUCAGUUGUUUGUGAUAUGAAACGACUGAGUGCAUUAAUUCGACCGUUCAGCUUUUGUACUUAUCUGAUUGUGCGGGGGAGGAUCCAUAUCGAGGAUUGCUUGGAUUUUGUCGAGAUUUGGUUUAAUCUCGUGCUGACCUACGUAGAAACUAAGGAACUUGCCUUCCUUGAUUCCAAAGGAACAUUUGGCUGGGUCAAGCUUCAUUCCGUAUUGUUUCAAUGUACCCAGGGUUUCUCUCAGAUCCUCAGGGUAUUUUUCCACGCUUGAUGAUUUGACUAGAAUGUCAUCAACGUAAGUGGAAACAUUGCGCCCGAUCUGGUCCGCGAAAACCUUGUCCAUUAAGCGUUGGAAUGUAGCCCCAACAGUCCUCAAACCGAAUGGCAUCACUCUAUAACAAAAUAUCCCUGAGUCCGUGAUGAAGGAUGUUUUUUCCUCAUCAGGCUCAUGCAUCAGGAUCUGAUUGUAUCCUGAGUGGGCGUCCAUCAUAGAGAAGAGUUCGUUACCCGACGCUCCAUCGACUAGUUCAUCGAUAGAUGGGAGCGGGUAGCUGUCCUUGGGGCAUGUUUUUAUUGAGAUCAGUGAAAUCAAUGCACAUGCGCCAUUUGCCAUUGGGUUUCUUGACAAGGACGGGGUUAGCCAGCCAAGUUGGAUAUUAAACUUCUCGAAUGUGUUCAGCAUUCAGAAGCUUGGAUAUCUCCUUGUUGGCUGCUUCCCGCCUGUCAUAAGUGAGUACUUUACGUUUUUGGCGUUGAGCUGGAAUGGAUGGGUCGACAUUGAGUUUGUACGUUACGAUUUGAUGCGCAAUCUGUGUCGGUGCCUCACCCUCCCAAACGAACCUAUCCUGGUGCUCCUCUAGAACAGUCAUAAGCUUGGCUCUUAAGUCAGAGGAUAGCCCCUUUCCUAAUGCCACAUGUCCCCCCUCCAGCUGAAACAUUUCAGUCUUCCAUGGGUUAUAAUUUCUCCCUCUCCCCAAUGUCGGGUGGGGCAUGGACGAGCAUGUUGUUCAGUUUGGUCAGAUGGAUUGCCUUCUUAUACCCUUGUCUAGAAUCCUUUUAUGAUCCUUUGAUAGUUGCGAUGAACCCUUUGAUUGGGUAUCGUAUGCAUUGGUGAUAAGAAAACGGGACUGCCUUGAUCCCGUGGAUGAAGGGUCGUCCGAAAAUGCCGUGAAAAGUGGAUUCUACUUCCACCAAUAUAAAACGAUAAGUCUGACUAACCCUCCCUCGCCGGGAACCGAUGGAGACUUUCAGUUCAAUAACACCGGCCACUGGGGCGGCGAUGUUAGUGAACCCUUAGAUGGUUUCCUUGCAAGGAGAUAGAUCCUGCCUCUUAAGGCCCAUCUUGGUAAAAGUGUCCAUGUAGAGGAUGUCCGCAGAACUACCGCUGUCGACAAUCAUCCUCUCGACUCGGGAAUCGGGACCGAUGUCUGCUUGGAUCACAAGUGGAUCCUCAUGAGGUUGCAGAACAUCGUCCAGGUCCUCUUCGGAGAAGUAUAUUAACUUCUCUUCGCGGACCCGUUUUCCGUUGUCUCGAGGUGUUGAUUGCGACAUCAGCACCUUCCAUGCGUAUCCCCUAUUCUGGCCAACGAAGCCACCACCAAAUAUCAUAUUGAUGGUCUUUUGUUGGCGGUUCUCGCUGCUAUCGCUAUCUGGAGAAGGAGAGCGUUGGCGCUUCCCCUUCAGGUCAGAUUUGCAAUUGUCCCAUCCUCGAGGUCCCUUGACAAAGUUGCCAAGUUCUCCCUUCGAGAUCAACUGCUCGACAUAGUCCGAGAACUCCCUGCAAUGAUCCUUUAGGUGGCCAUUGUCUUUGUGGAAUUUGCAGUAUUUUCCAUCUUUCUUACGACUACCCUUGGUUGCAGGGUCUAAAGAACGAGGAACGGGUAGAUCCGCUCGGUUCUUUAGCUUCUCAAACAACUCGCCCUUGCUGAUUAUUAGCGGAGUCCAGUCCCUCCAUGGUUGGGUUUCACCCUUUGGCGACUGCUUGGUCGAGGUUUGGUACACCUUAUUAUCGUGUUUGGGCUUCCAUUCCUUCUUGAAGGUUUCAGCCGCAUUGUCGGUGUACUUAUUAGAGGUGCCACGGAAAUUAUUCUUUCCAUUGUACCCCUUCCUCUCGAACUUGGGUUUUUUAAAGCUAGUGGUCUCAAGCUCCGCUAGCUAGCUUAUUCUCAUCCUCCUCUUCCACCUCAAUGUAUAAUAGAGCUCGAUGGAAGAGGUCUGGUACGUAAGGUCUCCACUUUAUGGAGCUUCAGAUUCUGGGCCAAUGGGGAGAAGGGUACCAACCCUCUGAUGUAUCCCGCUAUAGCCAGACUUGGGAUUAAAUCGUUCACUUUUGUCAUCAUCGAAGUGAACUUAAUCGUGUAAUCCCGUAGGGACAACUUGUUCUGUCGUAGUGCUAGUAGUGUGUUGGCACUGUGUUUUAUCCUGAUCAUCCCCACAUGUUGGGCGAUGAACUUUGCAGAUAGGUUCGUAAAGCUAGUACGUGACUGAGCCAGCUGGCAGACUAGAGAACCACCGAUAAGUACUACCCUUGAGAGUGUCGGGGAAUGCCCGACACAACAGCCCGUUAUCGGUGGUCUGAGGUUCCAAGAUAUUGAGGUAGAGGUUGAUGUGAUCUUUUGGAUCACUCGAACCAUCAUACGACUCAAUCAUGGGUACCCUCCAAGUUGGUGGAAAGGAUCCUUUCAAAAGGUCCUCGUGAAAAGGAGCACUUUUGAUUCUCAGAAACUCAAUCGGGCCGUCGACAACUGGGUCGUCGGCCAGCUUCCGACGAAGAUCUUCCACGAACCGUUUCGUAAGAGUCUUUUUAGUGCGACUCUUACUAAGUCCAGCCCUUGACUUAGGAGGGGGACCUUUCUUCUUUUUUCUCCACAGAUGGGGAAUAGUAAGACCCAGAUUCACCCGCUCCUUUGCGGAUGAUGGUCUUGUGACUCCUUGCUUUUUCGAGGUUGUUGAUUCUUUCUUCCAUGUUUUCCAUGAAAUUAAUCAACCUAUCCUUCAGAGUGCGAGGAAUGUUUGGGACCAUUUCCUCUCCGAUUUUUGUCGGAGCGGAAAAUGCCUGAGAGGGUAUGUCAGGUUGAACGUCCCCGAGCCUCUCUGGGAGGGGGAGGUCAGCCUGUCCCUCUUCAGGUAUCAAUGGUCCUUUACCCUUGCUUCUCAAAGGGCUACCGUGCUUUUGUUUUUCGAUAGCCAUUGGCAACAAAAGCGAGUUUCAACCGAAGCGCAAGUAUCUGACCGAACUAACCCGAAAGAAAACCAAGUGGAAUCGGCGACUCCCUAGGUUGAGUCGACGAUUGGACUUAGGUGAUUCUUCUUUCGAGUCGAGUCGUGGACAACACUCUUAGCUAGCAGAAUAUUCCCUUAAUCAGCGACUCCCUAGGUGGAGUAGGCGAUUCCUGGUAUUGAAUCGGCGAUUCCUUAUGACAAAGUCAGCGAUCUCCCAAGAGAAAUUAAGCCAGACUUUGCGAAGAAAAUUUCGCAAUUACGACGGGAUAUCGUGGUUUGCGAAGCACGUAAUCUUCUACCAGGGGGCUCGGGGGGUUGCGAGGAGGGUCGGAGGCUUCGGAGUCCACGACGCGCGCUCUACGUCAAAUACCUGCAGAGGAGGGGAAUCGACGACUCAACAUGGGAGUGGGCGAUUCGGGCUCCUUAGUGUGCUCUGGUUGAGUGGGAGAUCAAGUAUGUUGGAGAUGGAUUGGGAGAACCCCCAAGGACCCCUUUUAUAGGGUCUUUGGGACGUUUCCCAAUCAAUGAGCCGGACCCACACCAUUAUGGCGCCCGGUUAAAGGUGCCAUAAUGUGUGGGUCAGUCACAAGUAACAUCUGGGAAUCGACGACUCAGGUAUGGGAGUCGUCGAUCCAGGGGUGGAGUCGGUGAGUCCUAGGAGCCAGGUCGUCAGUCUACCAGAACUGACUAACUUGGUCUCGACUCGUUGACUCACCUCCGGAAUCGACGACUUGGUAGUCUCAAUCGGCGAUUCCCAUGUGUUGACUUGAGGACUUGACGUAGAUACUUGUUCCGCAACUGUGGAGCUCUUUGGGGGUCCGGCAUAGAGUGACGGAACCCCUGGUCCUUGUUGAAAGGCGUUGUUGGGAGUGACUGACGUAAUCAGGCAUGUCUCACCAAUUCUGUUGAAGGUUACAAAUAUUACAUCAACUUUAUAGAUGUUUACAUGAAUUUCAACUGGGUAUUUCUAUUAGUUAAAAAAUCAGAGAUAUCUGAGGUAUUUAAAAAAUUCAGAUCUCUCGCAGAACGCCAGACCAGAAGAAAAUUAAGGCAGCUACAAACUGACAAUGCACUCGGGUUUAAGAAACUCACAGGAGCGUUAAACAAGCUAAGAAUACAUCAUCGGUUCUCCUACGUUUACCGUCAUCAGCAAAUGGGCCACAUUGAGAGGAGACACCGACAUUUGGUCGAUACAGGCAUUACUCUCCUUUAACAUGCCAAUAUCCCACACGAAUUUUGGGAUUAUGCUAUUAUGGCUUCCACAUAAACAUACAAUAUAUAGGAACCCCAACAAAUCACUCUCUGGCCAGUCUCCAAUUCUGAAACUAUUUGAGAAGGUUCCAGACUACAGCAAGCUCUGGAUUUAUGGGAGCAAGUGUUUUCCGUGCUUACGAUCUCAACGGCCAAACAAGCUAGCACUAAAAUCAGCGGCAUGCAUAUUCCUUGGCUAUCCAGAGCAUCAUGACGGAUAUAUAUGUAUUGAUCUGAUAAUCAGAAAGUCCAUAUUUCAAAGGACGUUAAAUUUAUUGAAGGCGAUUUUUCAAUCAACAAAUUACUUACGGAGGAUGAUUAAACAAAAGGGGAAGAGAGUUCAAGUAUCACCGAUCUAAUCAAUAUUGAAGAGAAUAUAAUACAUGAACCAACCCAACCACCUCCAACAAUUAAAAGAAGAUGGGUCCAUAGAACGAUACAAGGCACGUCUAGUAGAAAAUGCCAUGCGAUAAAUCGAAGGCACAGAUUACUCACAGACGUCUAGUCCAGUAGUAAAGCCAAUUUCGGUGAGGUUGGUAUUAACGAUUGCCGUAUCUAGAGGAUGGAAUUUACAUCAUAUUGGUAUAUCAAACGCCUUCUUACAUGGCAAUCUCGAGGAGAGGAUUAUGGUAAGUCAACCAGUAGAGUUUGUGAAUAAAUAUAGGCCCAGUGAUGUAUGCCUUCUUAAGAAAGCCCUCUAUGAUCUUAAGCAAUCCCCGAGAAUGCGGUAUAAAAGAUUGAAAGAGUUCUUGAUUAAAUUUUGCCAACGAGCAUCCAUGUUUAAUAAUAACAAUAUUACAUGUCUAUCAGAACACAAUAUUAAAUAAUUCCAAUCAUCAAACCUUAAUAUAUAGAAAUCAUAAAAAGGGGCAUACAUAUCUUACACAUGAAAUUACUUGAUGAAUUCCAUGACACUAAUGUAACCAAUUGUAAGAGAAAUCUUAAAACAAGAGAAUCCUGCUUUCUUUGCCAACGAGCGAAACUCCAUCUCAGUCCUCUCCUUACCGCCCUCACAAAACAGUAGCAUAAACAUAUCACAUUCAAAUAUUGGAUUGCUAACAUCUGGUGCAAUUGGUACAAUGCCUUCAAUAACAAUGACUUUCCCUUUCGCCCCUAUUCUUUGGAAACAUUUUUUAAGCAACAAAAUACAAUGCUCGUCACUCCAAUCAUGGAGGAUCCACUACAAAAAUAAGAAAGAUCGAGUACAUUAAUUCAAGUCAUUCAACAUGAUAUUUGUAUGUAUAAACAUGAUAUUUGUAUGUAUAAACAUAAUAUUGAAAAAGAAUUAUACCUUCAACAAAAUGGUAUCUCCACUCGGAAUGUCUUCGAACAUGUUGCCAGCUACAUGAUUCACUCCUAUGAAAUAAAAGAAAAUAAAAUUUAUCUGACAGUUAAAUGGAUGGUUGAUGAAAUUAAUGUAAAAUAAUAAUAAAUGCAAAGUAAAAAAUUAAAGAUAAUGUAUACCUUGAAUGAUUGGAGCAUUUGCAAUAACAUGAGGAAGGUCAAAGUUGAUUCCUUUUAUGGUGGGAUACUUUGAAAUUAUGGUUUUUAAGGUUCCACCGACACCACCUCCAACAUCAACUAGAGUUUUCAAACCAUCA